This 509-nucleotide ribosomal RNA is filed under the name uncultured bacterium. RNAcentral's name for it is "partial 16S ribosomal RNA". It matches the Rfam family "Bacterial small subunit ribosomal RNA", at positions 29 to 507 of the family's 1533-position model. The record is from RNAcentral.
ACGCACGCUGGCGGCGUGCUUCACACAUGCAAGUCGAACGAAGAGCGAUGGAAGCUUGCUUCUAUCAAUCUUAGUGGCGAACGGGUGAGUAACGCGUAAUCAACCUGCCCUUCAGAGGGGGACAACAGUUGGAAACGACUGCUAAUACCGCAUACGAUCUAAUCUCGGCAUCGAGGAUAGAUGAAAGGUGGCCUCUACAUGUAAGCUAUCACUGAAGGAGGGGAUUGCGUCUGAUUAGCUAGUUGGAGGGGUAACGGCCCACCAAGGCGAUGAUCAGUAGCCGGUCUGAGAGGAUGAACGGCCACAUUGGGACUGAGACACGGCCCAGACUCCUACGGGAGGCAGCAGUGGGGAAUCUUCCGCAAUGGACGAAAGUCUGACGGAGCAACGCCGCGUGAGUGAUGACGGCCUUCGGGUUGUAAAGCUCUGUUAAUCGGGACGAAAGGCCUUCUUGCGAAUAGUGAGAAGGAUUGACGGUACCGGAAUAGAAAGCCACGGCUAACUACGUG